GACAAAGAUUGAAUUCCUUUGUUGACAAAGACGUGUUACUUCAUCUUCAUCACGCAAAUGAAGAUGAAUGACGCCCUUCCUGGUCUGCGAAGAACGCCGUAGUUCGCCGACACAUUCGGGAAUGGGAGGGCUAAGAUUGACGCCAGCGCCCCCUGUGACCCUCGUGUGGAGGAUAAAGUGGUAGAAGAUGAGUGAGGGAGAACAACCUUUUUAUGGGUCCACAGACACUAAUGAGUUAAUGCGGAGCAGCUGGCGAGGCAGGCAGCAGAGGGAUGAUGAGUGGAUGAGCCACAGAUGUGCUGGGCAGAGGAACACGCCGGUGGUCAGG
Molecule: long non-coding RNA, 328 nt
Organism: Solea solea (common sole)
Lineage: Eukaryota; Metazoa; Chordata; Actinopteri; Pleuronectiformes; Soleidae
Exons: 3
Source: RefSeq, a predicted model, not a curated record